UACGGAGGGUGCAAGCGUUGUUCGGAAUCACUGGGCGUAAAGCGCGUGUAGGCGGCUAUCUAAGUCUGAUGUGAAAGCCCUGGGCUCAACUCAGGAAGUGCAUUGGAUACUGGAUAGCUGGAGUACCGGAGAGGAGGGUGGAAUUCCUGGUGUAGCGGUGAAAUGCGUAGAUAUCUGGAGGAACACCGGUGGCGAAGGCGACAUCCUGGACCGGUAUUGACGCUGAGGCGCGAAAGCCAGGGGAGCAAACGGG
Molecule: ribosomal RNA, 253 nt
Filed under: uncultured bacterium
Lineage: Bacteria
Description: partial 16S ribosomal RNA
Rfam family: Bacterial small subunit ribosomal RNA
Source: RNAcentral